CCAUCUGAACUUAUUUGAAUAUAGUUUUUCCUAUUCUGUUCUUAGAAAUUUCAGUCAUUAACAAUCUUUACACUUAGAAAGUGUUUUAAUUUUACUUUGAUGACAGGAAUAGUGUUCUUCUCAAUGAAAUAUAUAAUAGCAGCUUAUAAGUGAUAACUGUUUUCAUUCUGUUUUUAAGAGAAAAUACUUUGGUCUUUUUUACCAUAGUUUAGUGUGUGAUGUCAUAAAAAUGGGCUGUAGCCAUUUAAAUUCUUGUUCAAGUGCAGAAACUAAGAGACUGCAGUUUCUAUUAAGCCAUGUCAACUCCUAUUAGGAGACCUUUAGUGGUUCCAGUUCCAGGGCCUUCUUGAAGAAAUUGUGAUACUUGUGUAAGUAUAUCUAGAGUUUUCUUUCCAGCAUUGGCUAAGUCACAUAGCUGAGAAAUAUGAUACAUGGAGAAGGUUGCUGACUGGAUGAACUUUUCUACAUUGAAUACUUUAAAUCUGGAUUCUAGAAUAAAAUAUAUUGAUGCAUAUUUGAGUUGUCAACUGUUUAUGUCUUGUUCUUUUCAGCUUCAACAUUGCUUUAUGGCAUGUGUGGUCGUUUUUCACUCCAUUGUUGUUGUUUACCCAGUUUAUGGGGGUUAUAAUGUUUAUCACACUCCUUGGAUGAUUUCCGAAGAUCACCCCAUCCUGAGAUCUGCUGCCUUACACAGUGGAGGCUGUUUUCUGAGUGUCGGAUAACUCUGUUAUUAAAUAAGUGCAUAUUGAGAAUACUCACUCCAGAUGCUUAGAGGCAUGUUGAGAAGGACAAAGAUAGUGCCUCCUGUCAGGUCACUUACAUCAGAACUUGCAGGAAACCUGCUUUAUACAGCAGUUGACAGGUGUGGAAAUUGAAGCUCAUGGAAAUGAAAGUUAAUACACUAAAUUUUCAAGGAGUUAAUGAAAACUGACAUUUCUGCUAAAAACAGCAUGUUCUCCCUGUGGGAUUUUAAAGGAAGGUCAAUGGUAACUGUACAAAGAAGAAAUGGACACAGUCUCAUUGUUAGCAGUCUGAAAAUAGUUGCUAGCACCUCCAUGCCCACGCCAAUGUCUCCAGCCUCUUUCAGGCACCUUGCUGUGUCUUGGAACCACUGGGAGCCCUCACAGGAGGCCCUUCGUUCCUGUAUGCAUGUGGUGCCACAAGCUGCUUUGGGCCCGGAGGAAUCCUACACAUCUCAGAACACUUCCUCACCUGACCCUGUCACCCAUCUCUCCCCUUCUCAUGUGCUCAGCCCCUUCUUUGACUCUUGAAUUUUGAGUUUUUACAGAUGUUUGGGAGCUCUUACCCUGACAUGAAUUUACAAUUGUAAUGGAGACUCAGACAACGUUGUAGAUCACAGAGUGAACUAUGCUUUUUAGUGUUAAAUGCAAUAGCUUAAGAUAGAAUGUUUUACUUGUUACAUAAAUGCUGGUUUUCUUUCAGAUUUAAGGAUAUAUACUUUUUUUUUUUAAGAGAUAGGGUCUUCUAUGUUGCCCAGGCUGGCUUUGAACUCCUGGGAUCAAGUGAUCCUCCUGCCUCAGCCUUCAAAGUAGUUGGGACUACAGGCCCACGCCACCGUGCAUGGCUGGACACGUAAAUUUGAAGUGAAUGGUUAAACAUCCAGCUAGCUGAAAGCAUGACAGACCCUAACAGAAAAGCUACAGUGUGUUUUUGCAGCUAUGAAGUGAAUGGUUUCCUGGGGAAAAUUGUGACUUUGUAUAACUAUUUUUGAAACCAGAAUAAAUUAUAUUUCACUU
This is a long non-coding RNA of Homo sapiens (human), 1757 nucleotides long. RefSeq lists it as uncharacterized. The transcript is spliced from 2 exons. NCBI's taxonomy places the organism in Eukaryota, Metazoa, Chordata, Mammalia, Primates, Hominidae. The record is from RefSeq and is a predicted model, not a curated record.